UGGGGGAAUAUUGCACAAUGGGGGGAAACCCUGAUGCAGCGACGCCGCGUGAGUGAAGAAGUAUUUCGGUAUGUAAAGCUCUAUCAGCAGGGAAGAUAAUGACAGUACCUGACUAAGAAGCUCCGGCUAAAUACGUGCCAGCAGCCGCGGUAAUACGUAUGGAGCAAGCGUUAUCCGGAUUUACUGGGUGUAAAGGGUGCGUAGGCGGUUUGGUAAGUUGGAUGUGAAAUACCCGGGCUUAACUUGGGGGCUGCAUCCAAUACUGUCGGACUUGAGUGCAGGAGAGGAAAGCGGAAUUCCUAGUGUAGCGGUGAAAUGCGUAGAUAUUAGGAGGAACACCGGUGGCGAAGGCGGCUUUCUGGACUGUAACUGACGCUGAGGCACGAAAGCGUGGGGAGCAAACAGGAUUAGAUACCCUGGUAGU
RNAcentral lists this ribosomal RNA (424 nucleotides) under uncultured Lachnospiraceae bacterium. RNAcentral's name for it is "bacterial SSU rRNA". It matches the Rfam family "Bacterial small subunit ribosomal RNA", at positions 354 to 794 of the family's 1533-position model. The record is from RNAcentral. Lineage: Bacteria; Bacillati; Bacillota; Clostridia; Lachnospirales; Lachnospiraceae.